RNAcentral lists this ribosomal RNA (840 nucleotides) under uncultured Bacillota bacterium. RNAcentral's name for it is "bacterial SSU rRNA". It matches the Rfam family "Bacterial small subunit ribosomal RNA", at positions 78 to 896 of the family's 1533-position model. Lineage: Bacteria; Bacillati; Bacillota. The record is from RNAcentral.
UUCGGGGGGCAAGUAGAGUGGCGCACGGGUGAGUAACACGUAGGUAAUCUACCUUCGGGUGGGGAAUAACAAUCGGAAACGGUUGCUAAUACCGCAUAAUGCAGCGGCACCUAAUGGUGACAGUUGUUAAAGCGGGGGAUCGAAAGAUCUCGCGCCUGAAGAGGAGCCUGCGGCGGAUUAGCUAGUUGGUAGGGUAAUGGCCUACCAAGGCGACGAUCCGUAGCCGGCCUGAGAGGGCGGUCGGCCACACUGACACUGACAUACGGGUCAGACUCCUACGGGAGGCAGCAGUCGGGAAUUUUGGGCAAUGGGCGAAAGCCUGACCCAGCAGCGCCGCGUGAAGGAUGAAAUCCCUCGGGAUGUAAACUUCGCAAGAACGGGAAGAAUUAGUGGAAGUUAAUACCUUCCAUGAUGACGGUACCGUUUGUAAGCUCCGGCUAACUCCGUGCCAGCAGCCGCGGUAAUACGGGGGGAGCAAGCGUUGUUCGGAUUUACUGGGCGUAAAGGGCGCGUAGGCGGCCUCCGCAAGUCAGUUGUGAAAUCUCCGAGCUUAACUCGGAAAGGUCAACUGAUACUGCGGGGCUAGAGUGCGGAAGGGGCAACUGGAAUUCUUGGUGUAGCGGUGAAAUGCGUAGAUAUCAAGAGGAACACCUGCGGCGAAGGCGGGUUGCUGGGCCGACACUGACGCUGAGGCGCGAAAGCUAGGGGAGCGAACGGGAUUAGAUACCCCGGUAGUCCUAGCCUUAAACGAUGAAUGCUUGGUGUCUGGGGUUAUAUAGUCCCCGGGUGCCGUCGCUAACGCUUUAAGCAUUCCGCCUGGGGAGUACGGUCGCAAGACUG